This 341-nucleotide ribosomal RNA is filed under the name uncultured bacterium. RNAcentral describes it as "partial 16S ribosomal RNA". It matches the Rfam family "Bacterial small subunit ribosomal RNA", at positions 338 to 690 of the family's 1533-position model. The record is from RNAcentral.
CCUACGGGUGGCAGCAGUCGAGAAUCAUUCACAAUGGGGGAAACCCUGAUGGUGCGACGCCGCGUGGGGGAAUGAAGGUCUUCGGAUUGUAAACUCCUGUCAUGUGGGAGAAAAUUAAAAAGAUACUACCACAAGAGGCAGAGACGGCUAACUUUGUGCCAGCAGCCGCGGUAAUACAGGGGUCUCAAGCGUCGUUCGGAAUCACUGGGCGUAACGCGUGCGUAGGGUGUUUCGUAAGUCGUGUGUAAAAGCGGCGGGCUCAACCCGCGGACGGAACAUAAUACUGCGAGAGUAGAGUAAUGGGGGGGGAACCGAAAUUCUAGGGGUAGCAGUGAAAUGGG